RNAcentral lists this long non-coding RNA (300 nucleotides) under Elaeis guineensis (African oil palm). Its description in RNAcentral is "long non-coding RNA (EGUI_LNC075904)". Lineage: Eukaryota; Viridiplantae; Streptophyta; Magnoliopsida; Arecales; Arecaceae. The record is from RNAcentral.
GAAGUGGAACAGGAUCAUGGUUGUUAUUGUGACCUGCCAGGGGGCGCGGAUCUGUUGAUUGAAGCUCGGCAGCAGUCAGAGUCCGGCCUCUGUAGAGGUCCGGGAGGGGUCCUCCUUGCGGUUGGGGUCGUGGGUGGAGCCCGGCUUCCGUGGGAGUCCGGGCGGAACCCUCUCGGAGCUGAAGUUGCGGGCGGAACCCGGCUCCUGUAGGAGUCCGGGCGGAGUCCUCUGCAAACAAAGUUAAAGGUGAAGUCCGGCUCCCGUAGGAGUUCGGACGGAGCUUACCAGCAGUUGAUACUG